CAUUUUGAAAAAGCCAGAUGCUUAAGAACUAUAUAACCUUCCAUGCUUCUGAAAUAAAUGUCUCCCAAGGGUCUGCAUAAAUAAGCUAUUGGCUGAUAUACUAAUGCAUAUAUUCAACUAUAUUUGGGAUUGCUAUUCAGCAAGGAUGCAUUAGUAUGGCCAAGAUUGGUAAAUAACCCUGAAUCCUUUUCCUAUCCUUUCUGCUGUGAACUCUCCCUCAUAAUUCUCUGCUCAUCAUCACCGUCCAGCAAUCAAGAUGAACUCUGGCACAGCAGGGGGCUUCAAGAUCUGCUCCAACACUCUGGAGAUGCUCUUUCUGAUGGGCUCGACCAAGAUGGCACAAAAGGAAGAGGAAGCCAGCAGAUGGGGAGGUCAGAACAGGAAGACUGCAAUACUCUGAAACGAGUAUGACUAUUUAACAAGGAUUAAGACGUAAACAUCAGGUCAUGAUUUCUCUUUAGGGGAAGAUAUAACAUCUUCUUUCAUAACGACACAUUUUCUUCUUCUGGUAGUAGUAUGUUCUGGCUCUCUUCCCUUUAAUGCCCACAAAAAUUUUGCACAGAAAGCAGUAGAGAGAUAUAAGUGAUAUUUUUAUCUGUUUUUGUUUCGAAUCUAUAAUUAAGAACUACUUUAUGCUAGAGAAACAUCAGAUAUAAAUGAAAUAAAUACCUAAGUUUCAUAUUCUUUUAUCAAAUAUCGAAGGACCGUGGAGGAAAUUCAUGUUCUAGGGAAUCAGGAAUUAAUCUGCAUUAUCCUGAAUAUAAUAAGUGGAAUUAUAGGGCAAAAUUAAUAUAAAGUAAAUAGAUAAAUAUUUUUGAAACCAUUAACAUCUGUGGUUUAGCAAUAGCAUUUGACAAUGUUUAAAUAGCUAACAAAGAAGGAGUUUAAUUUGCCUAAAAAAUACUAUUUAACCAAAAUGAUUAAUGCGAUUUCUGGUUUCUGGGCAAUUUUCAAAUGUAAUGUCAGAAAAGAAGAUAAGAUUAUUAGAUAGUAAGAAACUGAUUUCCCCAAAUUCAUAAAAACUUUGUAAGGUCAGAUUCAUAUUAUUAUAGACUCUCAAACAGUACAAAUUUCUAUCAGGUGUAGGCUAUUACUUCAAUUCUAUGAAUUGAGGCAAAAUUUGCUGCUUUCCUAGAGAAAGAGAUACAGUAUUUGUAUUUUCAGUAACAAGUCACAGUAACCAAAAUCUUAUGUUUCUAUGGAAGCAGAAACUUUCAAUUGAUAGGUACUGAAAAAUAAAAACUGCAUGAUUGUGU
This 1256-nucleotide long non-coding RNA is filed under the name Equus caballus (horse). RNAcentral describes it as "lncRNA (ENSECAG00000049080.1)". The record is from RNAcentral. Lineage: Eukaryota; Metazoa; Chordata; Mammalia; Perissodactyla; Equidae.